CUACGGGUCGCUCCAGUGAGGAAUAUUGGUCAAUGGGCGAGAGCCUGAACCAGCCAUCCCGCGUGCAGGAUGACGGCCCUAUGGGUCGUAAACUGCUUUUCCAUACCAAGAAACCUGAUUACGUGUAAUUAGUUGCCGGUAGUAUGGGAAUAAGCAUCGGCUAACUCCGUGCCAGCAGCCGCGGUAAUACGGAGGAUGCAAGCGUUAUCCGGAUUCAUUGGGUUUAAAGGGUGCGCAGGUGGGCUUGUAAGUCAGUGGUGAAAUGUUGCCGCUUAACGGUAAAAUUGCCAUUGAUACUGCAAGUCUUGAAUAUAGUUGAGGUAGGCGGAAUGUGUUGUGUAGCGGUGAAAUGCAUAGAUAUGACACAGAACACCGAUUGCGAAGGCAGCUUACUAAGCUAUUAUUGACGCUGAGGCACGAAAGCGUGGGGAUCGAACAGGAUUAGAUACCCGCGUAGUC
RNAcentral lists this ribosomal RNA (459 nucleotides) under uncultured bacterium. Its description in RNAcentral is "partial 16S ribosomal RNA". It matches the Rfam family "Bacterial small subunit ribosomal RNA", at positions 339 to 795 of the family's 1533-position model. The record is from RNAcentral.